RNAcentral lists this ribosomal RNA (253 nucleotides) under uncultured prokaryote. Its description in RNAcentral is "partial 16S ribosomal RNA". It matches the Rfam family "Bacterial small subunit ribosomal RNA", at positions 525 to 777 of the family's 1533-position model. The record is from RNAcentral.
ACAGAGGUCUCAAGCGUUGUUCGGAUUCAUUGGGCGUAAAGGGUGCUUCUUUUUCUCUCUCAGUCGGGUGUGAAAUUUCGGAGCUUAACUCCGAAACUGCAUUCGAUACUGGCGUGCUCGAGGACUGGAGAGGAGACUGGAAUUCAUGGUGUAGCAGUGAAAUGCGUAGAGAUCAUGAGGAAGACCAGUGGCGAAGGCGGGUCUCUGGACAGUUCCUGACACUGAGGCACGAAGGCCAGGGGAGCAAACGGGA